CGCGCCUAACACAUGCAAGUCGCACGAGAAGGGCUUCGGCCCCGGUAAACGGUGGCGCACGGGUGAGUAACACGUGGGUAACCUGCCCUUGAGCGGGGAUAACAUUCCGAAGGAGUGCUAAUACCGCAUGAGACCACGCUCUCGAAAGAGAGAGGGGUAAAGGCUGGCCUCUGUACACAAGCUAGCACUCGAGGAUGGGCCCGCGGGGGCAUCAGGUAGUUGGUAGGGUAACGGCCUACCAAGCCUAAGACGCCUAGCUGGUCUGAGAGGAUGAUCAGCCACACUGGAACUGAGACACGGUCCAGACUCCUACGGGAGGCAGCAGUGGGGAAUCUUGCGCAAUGGGCGAAAGCCUGACGCAGCGACGCCGCGUGAGUGAUGAAGGCCUUCGGGUUGUAAAGCUCUGUGGGGAGAGACGAAUAAGUGCGGGCUAAUACUCCGCAUGAUGACGGUAUCUCCUUAGCAAGCACCGGCUAACUCUGUG
RNAcentral lists this ribosomal RNA (484 nucleotides) under uncultured bacterium. RNAcentral's name for it is "bacterial SSU rRNA". It matches the Rfam family "Bacterial small subunit ribosomal RNA", at positions 43 to 507 of the family's 1533-position model. The record is from RNAcentral.